AUGUUAGCCUGUGGAUCAAUCACUGUGGCUAUUCUGCAGUCGUGUUGUUCCAUUCACUAUUUCCAAGGCAGCUGGCGGCACCGAGCCUCCGGUGACGCCUGGUGGCAGCGCUGCUGUUGCCGCCGCCGCCGUGGUGGUGCCGUCCUUGUUGGAGGAAUUUGUGGCGGCGCGGCACAUGGGGCAGGUGGAGUGCGCUUGCAGCCAGGCGUGGACGCAGUCGGCGUGGAAGAGAUGGCCGCACCUGGGGAGCCGGCGCAGCUUCUCGCCGGCCUCCACCUGCCCGAGGCACACCGCGCAGUCCAUCGGCGCAGACUGCGCGUCGGCCACUGCGAUGACGGCGGCGUCGCUGAUGCCGCCGGCCUCGUGGUCCUCCGCACCCGGACGGCGGCGGGCGUAGGAGACGGCGAGGUAGAGGAGGAGGGUGAGGACGCCGAUCGCCAUGGCGAGCCCCGUGAGCAGCAGCCGCGAGCGCGUGCUGUACCUGGAGCUGUCGGCGACCGCGAACACCCAUGA
Molecule: ribosomal RNA, 513 nt
Filed under: Triticum aestivum (bread wheat)
Lineage: Eukaryota; Viridiplantae; Streptophyta; Magnoliopsida; Poales; Poaceae
Description: partial small subunit ribosomal RNA
Source: RNAcentral